GUAGCGCAAUGGAAAGCGCGUUGGACUUCUAAUCCAAAGGUGGUGGGUUCGAAUCCCAUAUGACA
Non-coding RNA from Trichonephila inaurata madagascariensis, 65 nucleotides. Lineage: Eukaryota; Metazoa; Arthropoda; Arachnida; Araneae; Nephilidae. The record is from the annotation of a GenBank genome assembly.